UACGGAGGGUGCGAGCGUUAAUCGGAAUUACUGGGCGUAAAGCGUGCGUAGGCGGUGUUUUAAGUCAGAUGUGAAAGCCCCGGGCUCAACCUGGGAACGGCAUUUGAAACUGGGGCACUGGAGUUGGGUAGAGGGGAGCGGAAUUCCGGGUGUAGCGGUGAAAUGCGUAGAUAUCCGGAGGAACACCAGUGGCGAAGGCGGCUCCCUGGACCCAAACUGACGCUGAGGCACGAAAGCGUGGGUAGCAAACAGG
Molecule: ribosomal RNA, 253 nt
Filed under: uncultured bacterium
Lineage: Bacteria
Description: partial 16S ribosomal RNA
Rfam family: Bacterial small subunit ribosomal RNA
Source: RNAcentral